Molecule: long non-coding RNA, 17616 nt
Filed under: Citrus maxima (pomelo)
Lineage: Eukaryota; Viridiplantae; Streptophyta; Magnoliopsida; Sapindales; Rutaceae
Description: long non-coding RNA (CMAX_LNC003764)
Source: RNAcentral
AGAGAGCUGAAGGGAGCAUACAAUGGGUGGUGGUGAUGGCAAGGUCUUCACUUUGGCUGAAGUAUCUGAUCACAACAACAUGAAAGAUUGUUGGCUCAUCAUCAAUGGCAAGGUUUCCACUUUCUUUUAAUCCCCAUUUCAAGUCCUGCCUUUUUGUGAUCGUUGUUCUGUUUUCUUUGGUUUUGAUUUGAGAGACAUGUUCUCUGCAUGUGAUUGAUCUGAUGGGUGUCUGAAAAAUUGUGCACUGUGGUUCAAUCCUUGGAUCGAUUUGAGAGUGAGGUUCAUGUGAGUUUGAUUUUUUUGCAUGAUACUCAGAAGAUUUAUAUUUGAUUCUGUUGGGGUGGUUUCUGGUUAUAUCUUCUGAUUAAUGUAGGAUCAAAGUUGAUUCAUUUUGAGUGAUUGGCCUACUGCGGAACUGUCAAAUUGGCAUUUUCUGUUUUAUGGUGGCUUUGUAUUACGAAUUUAGGCGCCCGUGUUGUUUUGGUUAACAAUAGUAUUUGUAUUAUUACAACAAUGUUAUUGUGUAUGAUCGGGUCUACUUUCAUCUUUUUGUUAAACCUUUGCGCAUAUAUCGUGAGUUUAGCCCACAUACUAAGAGGAUAAUGUUUUCAAUUCAUCUUACUCUUGUGCAUGUUUGAGCUCUGUGGCAUUGGUGAAUGGAUAAAAUUCUUUUAUCCAGCAGUUUCUAGUUCUGGUUGCUUCUGUUUGAUUGAUGAGAUCUUUAAUUAACUUAACUAUUGUCAACAUAUGGAUCUUUUUCUGGCCAUUCCUCUGUAAUUUGAAGUAGACUUUAUUUGUCUUUUGUGGGUGCACAACUUUCUGUCUAUUGCUUUUUGUUCUGUUUGUGCUUUUUUUCAGUUCCUACUUCCUAGCUAUUCAUUUUUACAUUUUCAAAUUGCAUCUAAAUAAUUGGGAAAAGCAUUCUCAACAUAAACAUGUGAGUUUACAUGACUCGAUUCAAAUUACAAGCUAAUGUAGUGAGUUUCAUUACUUUUAGGGAUUUUUCUUAAGGAAAUAUGAUUCUUGUUUGUUGGGUGAAUGCAUGUUAUAAAUGCUCUACAUCUUUUGGAUCUAGGCUAGAUUUUAAUACAAGAUUUUAAGUUUUUAGCAAACUAUAAAACUUGAAAAAUGAGAGAUUUAAAGGCGGGUUCAAUGAACAGUGUGCAUGUGCUCUCAUAAGUAAGAAUGACCUUGAGUUUUCGAGGCCAAGAGAGCUUGGUUCUUUAUAUCGCAAAGGUUUAAAAUCUGAGGAAGGUUAGAGGAGGUUAGAAGUUUAAGAAAUUUUUAAGCUGAUGAUAUUAUUAAAAAAAAAAAUGACAAAGGAAGCUCGUCCAGAUCACUGCGAGUAAGCAAACUUGGUGUUAAGUUGACUAUAUGACUUGAAGAUAAAGUUAAUUGAAAACAUUCAUAAGAAUGACCCAAUUAAUUCAUAGUUCACAAAAAAAGGUUCCUUAGUGAUACCUGUCAGAUCUAUUGGGUCAUAUGUGAUUUCCUGAUUGUCUACUCGGAUAAGGAUAUCCUCUGUUUCACCCCAAAAGUUGAUUGAAUUAUCAAAAUUUGUAUCACAAAAUGCAAUGAAGUGAAAUCAGAUCCAGACUGAAACUGAAUACUCACUUGUUUAAUUUUUAAGGUACUUUAAAUGUUAACUUAAUUAUUUACAUCUUUGAAGUUGAGCCACAUAGGUAAAAUUAUGGCUCAUGAUAUGCAUAUUUGACCAAACUUCUCUGGAGAAUAUUUGCACAUACUCAUGGAAUGAAAAUCUGAUUUUAAUUGGAUAAUAAUUCUAGAUCCUAUUUUCAGAGGAGUCUACAUUGUAGCUUUAAGCUCACAUUCUCAAAUUAUUGGAUAACUUUUUAACAAUGGCUUUGAUGUUGUUGUGCAGUGCUGUUUGUAGUUUGAAUGGGGGACCUUAGCAUGCAUUGCCAGUCAAUGCAGGCUUUUUAGCUUCUUUGUCUCCUUUCUUCUUCUAUUUUUUCAUUUUUUCUGAACUGACAGUUUGCUGGUUCAAUUAGGAGUUUGAUGUUGUCUCCACAUUACGAUGCAGGUUCAUGAACUCAAAAUUUUUUUCUAUUUAUUUUAUUUACUAUCUGUUUUAGGAAAUAUUUGAUUUCUAGAGAUAUUGGAUAUUACUUAUUUAAGUUUGAUCCCUUCCAAAAUUUGGUUUUCUUAUUUUAGUGGCUUGUUUGGAGUACAUUUUGAUUUCCUUUAUGUUUACGACCAAGUCAUCAGAAUAGGCCUUGUGUUUUGUCUUGAAAUAUAGACCACUUGAAUCAAUUUGAUACUGAUUGCAUUGUUUUCUCUUCCAUCUCUCUCUAAAUUCUUUCUCCUACGUUAUCUUCUUUUCUUCUUGCUGUAAUCACUGUUCCUUGUCCCCUGAGUCCUACAUCACAUUAUCUUCUAGAGUUUCCUGAUGGUCCAAGGUUCAUGACUGUUUAGCCACUGUUUGGCAUACAUCGUCCUUUUUGAUGUGUUGACUAAAUGUCAUCUGUUCUUGUUCCAUUAACAAGUAAUAGCAAGUAUUUACUUCUGCCAAAUAUGAGUGUUGCUUCAACAUAUUUGUGAGAUUUUUUGGGAUUGAGGUGCUUUACCUUUAAUUCGCAUGUGUUGUGAAAUGGAGUCUACUUCAUUUAAAUGAAUGUCAUAGUACAAACUUGGGAUCCACAUUUUGUUAACUAAAAACUUUAUCUACUAUGAUUUCAAAAUUAAGCUGAAGCAAAUCGGUUCCAAAGGAGCCCUUAAUCAUCUUGAUAUGAAACUAUUGUUGGAUUUACUAUUUGAGGAAAUUAUCGAAUGCAAAAAGCACAAGAGCGCAGGACUUUCAUUGUCCUUGCUUUCUUUCAAAAUUGUUUCAUUCAUGUUUCUAAUUGCUAUCAGCAUGAAUGUUCAUAUUGAUAUACCAAGUAAUAUGUGUAACGUCAAAUAUAGAUUGUUGUGCCCCAAUGAUUUUGUUGCUAUUUGUUCUAAAAAGCAGGGCGUUUUCCAGAGUUAUGGUGCUUCUUGGAAAGCUAAAAUAAAGGAUUUGAUGCCAAUAGUAGAAAAUUUUCAUAUAUUCAAUGUACUUAUUUUACAUUUCAAGAUUUCUCACUGGAAAUGUCUGAUGUUUGAUGUUUCAUGAUUUCUUGCAAUGCUAAAAUAACCCUCUUUGCAAAGACUAAUAUUGUUUGGCCUUUGUUCUUUUGUUGUAUUGCAUUUUCUAGUCCUUGGCUUCCAGUUUAGAUUUGUGUGGUAAUAUUUCUGGUGCAAGUACGUAACAUGUAUGAAUGCACCAUACUCUUUCCUCAUAUUUUUAUCGUGAUAAACUGAGAGUUCUAAAGUUUCAGGUCUUGCUGUUUAUGUGGUUUCAAAACUUGGAUGGUGUUUCUAGCAUAAUGGUUGUGCAUCUAAUUCUUUUAGGUUCAUCUAUUAAAGGAUCUAAUAUUUUGAACAGGUGUAUGACGUGACAAAAUUCUUGGAAGAUCAUCCUGGAGGUGAUGAAGUUUUGCUGUCUGCAACAGGUAUAUCCUUUGCUAAAGCCUGCUUCAAGCAACUCGACAUCUAGUUAUAUUUUCAUUGUAUGAAUAUCAUACCUACAAUUUCGAUCAUUUGAGGUUCUCUGAAUGUUUUUCAGGGAAGGAUGCCACGGAUGACUUUGAAGAUGUGGGUCAUAGUCCGAGUGCCAGAGAAAUGAUGGACCAGUACUACGUCGGAGAGAUUGAUGUAUCGACCAUCCCAAAGAAAAAGGAGUAUACACCUCCAAAGCAGCCUCACUACAACCAGGACAAGACAUCAGAGUUCAUCAUCAGGCUUCUCCAAUUCCUUGUGCCGCUAGCAAUCCUGGGGUUGGCCGUCGGCAUCCGGAUUUAUACAAAAUCAUCUUAAUGUUCUAGACUAUGUUCUCAUAACAGACAAUUUGUGUCAUCUUAAUGUUCUAGAUUAUGUUUUCAUAACAGACAAUUUGUGUUUUGUUAAUGAAACUUUCUUAGUUCUGAUAGCUGGUGCCACUUCCUUAUUUCCUUGCCCAAAACACCUUGCAUUUUGUUCUUCAUUUUUAUUUUGUCUACUUUUUAUUCAAAUCUUAAAAUUUUGAAAUAAAAAAGUUAAGAUCCUUAAUAAACUCCCAAGUCACAAAGGUAUUAUUUAUAGUUCUUAAAAUAAAAAAAUUGAACUUGUUAAUGUCAAACAUAGGGAUGACAAUGGGUACCGCCUGCAGCGGGUUUGCCAUUACCAAACCCAAACCGCACAAAAUUUAAAUUACCAAACCCACCUGCAACCCGCAGCGAGUUUUAACAAUUACCAAACCCGCAAUGGUACCCGGCGGAUUUUUUGCGGGUUUCCGUAUUUAAAAUCACAAAUGUUUAAUAUAUAAAUUUAUAAUAAUAACCUCAAAUUCCAUAUAACAUACUCAAUUUUAUAUUUAAACAAUGUAAAUAAAAAAUUAAAAUUUCCACAUCAAUCCAACACAAAUUCUCAAAUUUAAGUAUAAAUUACACAAAUUCAUUUAAAAAAUACAAAUUAGUAUCUAAAAAUAAUAAUUACAUUUCAUAUUAUUAUUUAAAACAAGCUCCAAGAGAAGAUAUUCAUUUCAUUCACCACUAUAAGCACCCAUCCAACACAAUGCCUAUAAUAAUAAUUAAGAUUAAUAUUUUCAAAUACUAAUUCGAAGGGAAAUGCAUUUAGUUUUCUUUAGGUUAUGACUUUAGAAUGGGAGAUGGGUCACAUACACACAUACACAACUUUGAGCCUUUGACUAUUUGGUAAUUUGAAUAAUGACAUUAUUUUCUUUAUACGUUUUUAGAUUAAAAUUAAAUUAAAAAUAUUUGGAAAAAAUAUUGCGGGUUUGGUGGAUAUCCAUGCGGGUUUGGUGGAUAUCCAUGCGGGUAUCCAUCAGAUAUAAAGUUAAUACCAAACCCACCCGCAUCCAUAUGCGGGUUUUAGUUUAUAAUACUAAACCCGCCCGCAACGGGUAAAAUUACCCACAGCGGGCGGGUUUUGGCGGGUGGGUUUGGGCGGGUUUGCGGAUACAAUUGCCAUCCCUAGUCAAACAUGCGUUUUUGUCAAUAAAAUUUCAGAUUGUUAUUUUCCUUUUAGUGUUGUAAAGUCCUUCGGUUUUGCUGAUUAAAAAAACUUGAAAAUUAUGUUAAGGCUCCAUCCUUUUUCUUGUCUCUCAAAUCUAAGCUCCGAAAAUAUUACAUAAUUGUUUUUCCCCCUCUGUUUAGUUGAGAUGAUAAUUGUGGCAUUUUAUUGUUGUAAAAUUAUACAUGCAUAUUAUUAAUUGAUUAUUUUAAAAUCUGCAAUAUUAAAAUUAAAAACGGAAAACAAAGAUGAAAUAAUCGCUCACUGGUAUUUGCCUGUGCCUGAUUGCCGAUGGGGAUUUAUAUGACGAAACUUCAAAUAAGAAGGAUAUUAGUGUAAAUUCAAAAGUUAAAAAGAAGCAUCGAAUGUAAAUUAUCUUCUUCAUCUCUCUGUUCUAUAUAAAUAACAGCGCUGCUACACACCUCGAGUCAAACCCCGAGUCGCGCCCUGAAUGGUGAAAAAUGACGUCGUUUUACUUUAUUCCUUUUCCUUUUAAUUUCAGCCGAUAAAGGUGCGCAGCGCGUGGGUGAGCAUAUACUUCAAUUAAUUUCAAACCAAAAUGACAUCGCCAGCAUAUGCUUUAUCACAGUGAGAUAACAAUUUAACACAGUAGGUAAUUUAACCAACAACGUAAAAUAACAACUAAAAAUCAUGAAUGAAGAACUGGAAAAAUAGAAGAAAAAGAAAACCGAAAUAGAAAAUAAACUCGAGGCCUGCAGGACAGUUUCCUUAAAACAGAUUUACCACCAACUGUAGUGCUUUAGGUUUGCUGGUAACUAUUUCCCAGGAUACAAUGGGUACGAAUUAUUUGUCAAGCAUUGACAAAUAAUUCCGACGAACCACAACAGCGUUCAAAGCUCGAUAAAAAACAGAACGUCAGAAGGAGAAAGAAAAUUUGAAAUGCUCUCUGUGUGCUGGUUGUUCUUGCGUGUGAAAACAGAAGAAGAAGCUGCCUUUUUAUACACGUGUGGGGAUGUAACAGCUGCAUAGUAUUGAAUUUCUGAAUUCAAUAUAUGCCAUUUAAUUGUUAUAACAACCAAUUCAAUUCAGUCAAUUAAUUUCAAAAUUGAACUAUAUAACAGCUCAAAAAUAAUUGUGAAGCUGUUACAAAUUCUUUGUAUUCAAAAACGUGAAACUAUUACAACAAAAAAAAUUUAAAAGGAAAUUAAAAACGUGCCAUGCAAGCUUGGAUGAUUUUGGGCUGACAUUCGCGUACGCAGGACGCGCGGGCGCACACGAGUUCAACUAAAUCGGUCUUGGAUUUGCACCCCCCUGCGCACGCGCGUGUGGAGAGGGCCUCUAUCCUUAUAAUUAUUGCUCAUGCAUGGUUAAGUGUUUAUAUAUAAACACUAAUCCCUUGGCUUCUUUUUUCCAUGUGGGAUAAGCCUCAUUUCCUUUUAAAUUUCCAACUUCAAGGGUGAACUUUGAGAGACAAUUUCUCAUUCACCCAAGCACCAUUUUGAGAAAAUAAAAAUACACUUUUGAAGUAUUAACGAAUUAGAAUCCGAACCUCACAAGAUUUUCCACUUUCGCUAAGUGGGACCCACUCAAAAUGUGCCCUCAAAAUAGCAUAUUGAUAUGCUAUUUUUUCAACAAUCCCCCACAUGAUUGAAAAUUGGCGGUAAAACAGAAAAACCACUAAAUUUUGACAUCAAAACCAUUUUUGACCUUAGUGAUCGAGUUUAUUGGAUCAAUACCUAGCACAUGAUAGGUAGGUCUUAUCAUUUGAACAUUCCAUUGUAAUAGUAUAUUUACUCUACUGGCUGAUCAGUAAACGCGAUGUCUUUGAACUAUUAUGCCGUUAGUGUAAACGAUCAUCUAGUACACAUAAGUAUUUCUCCUAACACUGUUGAGUUUUCAUAGUUAUGUUCGUUUUUGCCUUGAAUAUGUACCUGGUUUUGCAAGAGUUUCUAAGAGCUGAACCUCUAACAGCUCCCUUUGAAGCGGCCCCACUUCUCUCUCAUAUAGGUGAUAUCUUAAUUAAGAGUAACCCGCAUUACUCCGUUCAAAUUUCCGACACAUAAGAAUCAUCAAAAGCCUAGCUCAACCUUAUUCCCCAUGGGCAUUACUGUUUCAUCAUAGGAAUGGUCAAUGAGGUAAUCCUUUCAAGAGAAUGACCCCCACAGUGAUCCAACUUUAAUAUUUAACAAAUAGGUUGUCCUAUUGAACCUAGAUCUUGUGAUCUCCAGUCAACUAGGUUGGGUUUUCUUUCGUUAUUGACUAAUCGUUCUAAGGGUUUUAAUCCCAUUCCCCUUGAUGAUUUUUUACUAGCUCUCUAUUUAAUCCUUUGGUUAGCGGAUCCGCAGUAUUAUCCUUUGACCUCACAUAGUCAAUAGAAAUAACUCCAGUAAAAAUAAGUUGUCUAAUGGUAUUAUGUCUACGACGUAUGUGUCUAGACUUACCAUUAUAUAUAUUGCUUUGUACCCUACCGAUAGUUGAUUGACUAUCGCAAUGAAUACAAAUUGUAGGCACUGGCUUUGGCCACUUUGGUAUACCUUCUAAAAAAUUGCGUUACCAUUCUGCUUGUUCACUAUAUUUAUCUAAUGCAAUGAAUUCAGAUUCCAUUGUAGAUCUAGCAAUUACUAUUUGUUUAGAAGAUCUCCAUGAUACAGCUGCACCUGCUAGUAUAAACACAUAGCCUCUAGUGGAUUUUGAAUCUUUUACAUCAGAUAUCCAGUCAGCAUCACUAAAUCCUUCUAAUACUUCUAGAUACCUAGUAUAGUGCAGUCCAUAAUUACGAGUGUAUCGAAGAUACCCAAGUACUCUUACAAUAGCUUUCCAGUGAUCAGUUCCUGGAUUACUCGUAUAUCUACUAAGUUUACUUACUCUAUAUGGUAGAUCUGGUCUGGUACAAUUUGUUAAGUACAUCAGACUGCCUAUUAUUCUAGCAUAUUCUACUUGAGAAAUGCCAUAUCCUCUGUUUUUCGAUAAAUGGAUACUCGUAUCUAAUGGAAUCUUAGACACAGUAUUAUCAUCUUUAUUAAAUUUCUCAAGAAUUUUAUCCACAUAAUGAGUUUGACUUAGAAUAAGUCCAUUAGAAGCCCUUGAGAUUUUAAUUCCCAAAAUGACAUCUGCAAGACCCAUGUCUUUCACGUCAAACUUAGACUUCAACAUAUUCUUGGUAGAUUUAAUCAUGCCAUCAUCACUCCCAACAAUGAGCAUGUCAUCAACAUAUAAACAUAAAAUGACAUAGCCAUUUUCUGUUUCUUUGACAUAAACAUAUUUGUCACACUCGUUGAUCUUAAAGCCACUUGUGAUCGUCGUAUGAUCAAAUUUUUCAUGCCACUGUUUCGGUGCUUGUUUCAAGCCAUAUAAUGACUUUACCAAUUUACAAACUUUCUUUUCUUGUCCUGGAGCUAUAAAACCUUCAGGUUGCUCCAUGUAGAUUUCUUCAUUUAAAUCUCCAUUGAGAAAAGUCGUCUUUACAUCAAUUUAAUGUAUCUCGAGAUUGCGCAAAGUUGCAAUUGCUAUUAUCAUUUGAAUGAAAUUUAUUCUCGUAACAGGAGAAUAAGUAUCAAAGUAAUCAAGGCCUUCUCGUUGCCUGUAACCUGUAAUUACAAGCCUAGCCUUAUACUUAUCGAUUGAUCCAUCGGCUUUCAUUUUCCUUUUGAAAAUCCACUUAUACCCCAAAGGUUUACAUCCUGGAGGAAGAUCUACUAGCUCCCAGAUAUGAUUUUGUAAAAUGGAUUCAACUUCACUGUUAAUGACUUCUUUCCAUAAAGCGCCUUCAGGUGAAGUUACAAUUUCUUUGAAGCUUUGAGGUAGGGAUGACAAUUUUUCACGAUGGGAUGAGAUCCUGCGGGAUCCCAUCCUAUUUGGGACGGGAUUAGAACAUAUUUUUUUCUCAUAAAAAAUUUAGGGACAUGAGUGGGACAUUUUUUUAUCCCAAUUACAUAUGCGGGACGGGAGUGGGAUUGACAAAUUCCAUUCUAUCCCGUCUUAUUGCUGAUUAAGAAUGAAAAUUUUUCCAAUUGGAAUGGGAUCCCGCAGGAUCCCAUCUCUUUUGGGACAAGAUUCAGAUAUAUUUUUGUCCUAAUAAAAAUAUAGGGACGGGAUUGAGACCUUUUUUCAUCCCAUUUGCAUAUACAGGGUGGGACUGAGAUUGAUAAAUCCCAUCCCAUCCCGUCCCAUUACCAACCCUACUUUGAGGUUCACUUUCUAGUAAAUACGUCAGAAAAUCUGGAUCAAAGGGCUUUUCUAUUCUAGCUCUUUUGCUACGUCUGACCUCAAUUUCUUGUUGUUGUUCUUCUUCUUUUUCUGGUGCUUCAUCAUUUUCUUCAUUUUCAAUUGUUGUUUCAUGAAAUUGUCGUAGUUCUCUCAAUUCCACUCUAGAAUUGCAAGGAAACACAUGUUUGAAAAACGAUGCAUUUCUUGAUUCUAUUAUCGUAUUUUUGUAGACAUCUGGAACUUUAGACUUAUGCACCAGAAAUCGAUAAAGCAAUACUGUUUUGUGCAUAACUAAUGAAAAUGCAGUCAACAGUUUUUUAUCCUAUUUUUACUUUUUUAUUUGAAGGAACCACUACUUUAGCAAGACACCCCCACACUCGUAAGAAUUUAUAUGAAGGUGCUCUAUAUUUCCACAGCACAUACAUGGUUUUAUCUUCUUACUUUCGGGUAUCUUAUUUAAUAAAUAAUUAGCUGACAAAACAACUUCUCCCCAUAUGUUCUAGGGUAACCUAGAACUUAUCAACAUUGCAUUCAUCAUUUCCUUUAAUAUUCGAUUCUUUCGUUCUGCAAUCCCAUUAUAUUGAGGUGAAUAUGGAGCCGUGACUUGAUGUAUGAUUCCACUUUGUUUACAUAGUGACUCAAACGGAACAAUAUACUCACCACCACGGUCACUCCUUUAUUCUUUGAUUUUUCUAUUAAGUGGAUUCUCAACUUCAUUUUUGUAGAGAAUAAACUUUUCUAAAGCUUCAUCUUUAUUUUUCAAUAAAUAUAUAUAGCAAUAUUUUGUGCAAUCGUCAAUAAAGGUAAUAAAAUAUUUAUUACCACCUCUUGUUGAAUGGAUUUAAAAUCACAAAUAUCACUAUGUAUUAAAUCAAGUGGUUCGGUGUUUCUUUUAAUUGUUUGGAAAGAUGACCUAGUUAGUUUUGCUUCAACACAAGUUUCACACUUAUGUUUCAAAUCAAUUUGGAAAUUGGGAAUAUGCUUCAUGUUAAUUAAUUUACGCAAUGAAUGAAAAUUAACAUGUCCUAAUCUACCAUGCCAAAGAUUAGAAGACUUAAGCAAAUAAGCAGAAGAACUAGCUUCAUUAUUAAUUUUUGGUUUCAGAGUCGUUACAUUGAGCUUAAAUAGCCCAUCAUUAACAUAACCCUUUCCCACAUACAUCCCAUUCUUUGACAAAACUACCUUAUCUGACUCAAACACUAUUCGGAAACCAUGUUUGUUCAGCAGCGAUCCAGACACCAAGUUCUUCCAAAUUUCUGGCACAUAAAGCACAUCGUUCAGAGUCAGCUCUUUUCCAGAAGUCAUCUUUAGAAUCACAUUCCCUUGACCCUCAAUCUAUGAUGUAGCAGAAUUCCCUAUGAAUAGCUUCUCUCAAUUGCUAACUACUUCAAAUGAAGUGAACAACCCUCUGUCCGAGCAAACAUGUCUGGUUGCUCCCGUAUCAAUCCACCAUUCCCUCGGAUUAGAGCCAACCAGAUUCACUUCUGAAACAAUUGCAGAGAGGUUUACGUCUGAAACAUGUUGAAUGAUGUUUUCCACCACAUUUGUCUCUCGCUUCUUUUUAGGAAACCUGCAAUCCGAAGCCUUGUGACCCAUCUUAUCACAAUUAAAAUAUUUUCUUUGAAACUUUGUUUGCUUCUUGGAAAUUCCUCCUUUCGUACCCAAUUUUUUAUUUUUCUUAUUUUUAGGUCCAUGUUCAACAACAUUUGCCUUUGCCAUAUAAAUAGUCCCUCUUCUUUUUGCAUUUCUGUUAUCUUUCUCAAUUCGGAGCUUAACAACCAGCCCCUCAAUAUUCAUUUCCUUGCGUUUAUGCUUCAAAUAGCUCUUGAAAUCUUUCCAAGCAGGAGGUAAUUUUUUAAUAAUUGUAGCCACUUGAAAAGUUUCACUUAGCAUCAUCCCUUCUGUAAGGAUUUCAGAUAAUAUUAUUUGAAGCUCUUGUACUUGAUUUAUUACAGUUUUAGAAUCCACCAUUUUAUAGUCUAGGAAGCAACCAACAACAAACUUUUUGGUACCCGCAUCCUCAGUUUUAUAUUUUCGAUCUAAGGAUUCCAUAACUUCUUCGCUGUUUUCUUUCCUACGUAUACAUUAUACAAGGAAUCACUAAGGCCAUUCAUUACAUAUUUUUUACAUAAAAAAUCAGAAUGAUGCCAUGCAUCAAUUGCACUUGUAACUUGAACAUCCGUUUCACCCUCUUUGGGUUUAGGAGCAUCCUCCAUUAAGAACCUCGCAGGGUUCAACGUGGUCAAGUAAAAGAACAUCUUUUGCUGCCAACGUUUGAAAUUUUGGCCAUUGAAUUUUUCUAGGCUUUCUGCAUGAUUCACAGGAAUUGCCACAGAGGCUGGUUCCUUCACAACAGAUGGUUGUUGAGUGUUAGAAAAUGUAUAUUUAUAAAGGAGAAAAUCGUCAUUUUACAUUUCAAAUUUUACUAAUACCCUUGCUUUUAUGUAUUUAAUUUUCUUGUCAUUUAAUUAUGUGUGUUGUAUUAUAAUUAAGUAUUUUAUGUGUUUUAGGGGUAUCAUAGUCAUUUCACAAUGAACGAGAGAUCAAACGGCAAAACGGACAUCACUUUUGAACUCAGGACGGUCAAAAACCUUAGGAGGAGCAUAAAAGGAAAAAUAGUACUGUUCACAUGUACGGUACUAUCUACGUUACUGUUCACGACACUGUUCACAUAAACGUAUCAAUGACAUGGCAUUGACCGAUGAUGUGGCAUUGACUGAUGAGGUGUCACGAUCCUAUUGGACUAAAAUUCUUAUGCACUGUUGAUCGAUGACGUGGCAGCAUAUCAGUGGACCAAAAAUCUCGCGUACGGUACAUGCAUUACACAGGAUUAUUUUCAACCAAACCGCGUUACUGUUCAACCCGGGUCAAACCGUGUUACUGUUCGAACCGCGUGGUCAAACCGCGUACUGUUGACUGAUGACGUGGCGCAAUCCUGAGCGUCCGAAAUGUUUUUGAUCCGAUGGCCAUGAUUUACUCAAUGUAUCUAUAAAAAGGGGGCUCUUCCCCCCUAAUUUGAUAGCUCUGAAUCCAUUUUUGGAUUCCAUUUUCUGUAAUUUCUUCUCUAUCUUAUAUUUUCUACGUAUUUUAAUAAAUUCUCUUUUUGCCCCUAGUUCAAUUAUGAGUAGCUAAUUUCUUUCAAGCUUGGGUUGAAGGUGAAGUCUCAACAUGUGUCAUGAGCUUUAUUUGGUAAAUUUAUUUUCUCUUCCACUCUAGUUUUUAUGGAUGUUUUGACUUCUCGUCGAUAAAUAAUAAUAAUCUUGUCUAGAUACCACCUUGGUUUCACCGGCUCUCUAGUACAAGGUUAUUAUUAUUUGGCCCGAUUAGCUCUUAGCACCAUAUUGAUUAGAGUGUGGUUCAUGAGGUGUGGAUUUCCCCCUCAUGAUUUAAUUGGUAUUAAUAAGGAAUAUUUGGCCCAUGGUGCAUGUUGAUACGGAUCCAGAUACCCAAGUGUUUCAUUUCAAUAGAUUUCUCUUCAAUUUAUUCUUGCCAUUUCAAUUCCAAUUUUAAGAUAAUCUAAGUCACUUUCACCACAAAUCCAACCACCCAUUUACAAAAUUAAUUCUACACACAAUUAAAAUCCACCUUCUCGUGGGAUCGACACUCGUCACCAUUAGUCUAUUCUACAAUAGAAUCGUGCGCUUGCGAGUUCAAUAAAAUUUGCACAACAAUGGUCCAUCAACAGAAGCUGAAACAGGGACAUGCGAAACUGCAUCAUUGGUUUCAGUUACCAUCUCAACGAUUUAAAUCUGUUUUAAGAUUGUAAGAAAAAUAAUCACAGUGAGAUAACAAUUUAACACAGUAGGUAAUUUAACCAACAACGUAAAACAACAACUAGAAUCAGGAAUGAAGAACUGGAAAAAUAGAAGGGAAAAGAAAACCGAAACAGAAAAUAAACCUGAGGCCUGCAGGGCAGUUUCCUUAAAACAGAUUUACCACCUAGUGUAGUGCUUUAGGUUUGCUGGUAACUGUUUUCCAGGAUACAACGGGUAUCAAUUAUCUGCCAAGCAUUAACAAAUAAUUCCGGCGAACCACAACAGCGUUCAAAACUCGAUCAAAAACAGAACGUCAGAAGGAGAAAGAAAUUUUGAAGUGCUCUCUGUGUGCUGGUUGUUCUUGCGUGUGAAAAUAGAAGAAGAAGCCGCCUUUUUUAUACACAUGUGAGGAUGUAACAGCUGCAUAGUAUUGAAUUUUCGAAUUUAAUAUAUGCCAUUUAAUUGUUAUAACAGCCAAUUCAAUUCAGUCAAUUGAUUUCAAAAUUGAACUAUAUAACAGCUCAAAAAUAAUUGUGAAGCUGUUACAAAUUCUUUGUAUUCAAAAACGUGAAACUAUUACAACAAAAAGGAAAUUAAAAACGUGCCAUGCAAGCUUGGAUGAUUUUGGGCUGACAUUCGCGUACGCAGGACGCGCAGGUGCACACGAGUUCAACUAAAUCGGUCUUGGAUUUGCACCCCCCCUGCGCACGCGCGUGUGGAGAGGGCCUCUAUCCUUAUAAUUCUUGCUCAUGCAUGGUUAAGUGUUUAUAUAUAAAUACUAAUCCCUUGACUUCUUUUUCCCAUGUGGGAUAAGUCUCAUUUUCUUUCAAAUUUUCAACUUCAAGGGUGAACUUUGAGAGACAAUUUCUCAUUCACCCAAGCACCAUUUUAAGAAAAUAAAAAUACACUUUUGAAGUAUUAACGUAGUAAAAUCCGAACCUUACAAGAUUUCUCACUUUCGGUAAGUGGGACCCACUCAAAAUGUGCCCUCAAAUAGCAUAUUGAUAUGCUAUUUUUUCAACAGUUGGAACGUUCAACUUUUGAGGAUCUCCAUUAAAGUACUCACAACCAUUCAAUCUGUGUAUUUUCUGUCCAAUAGCUUUAUGAAGCUUGUACAUUGAAAGUGCGUUUUUGUUUCGGCGGUUCGUCAAAACGAAAGGAAAAAUGCGUCGAAACGGUGCGCUUUUAAUUAUUCUCAAAACGGUACAUUUAAUUCGGAGUGUGAGUCGGAGUUAAAAUCGAGAGAAAUAGCUUUUUCGUAUAAAUAAUCUAAUCUUCUUUAACCCUAAAACUAACCUCACGCCGCAAAAUGGAUUUUACAUUCUCAGAUGGUAACUUCCCAUUUUCACUCACCCUUUAACUUCAAAAGUAGGAAAAAAAUAAAGAAUAUAUACGAAACGACUCAUCGUUGGCAGGUAAAGACCGAACUUCACUUGAAAAGUUAAUUCAGGCUCACAACAAAGCGUACUCUAUUUCUUUGGUUGCAUUGAAUUUGAUUGCUAAGUAUAAGCUAUGUCCUACUGCUGUGUUGUGUGUAUGUGACUGUUUUUUUUUGGUAAUUUUUAAAUAUAUAAAUUCAAUGUUCGUUGCCUGAUUUUUUUUUGGGUUAAAUAUUUUAUUUUAUUGCAUUAAGUUUGUGAUCGAUGAGUUAUUUUUUGGUUUAUAUUUUUCCAAUUUUUUUUUUUGUAUUGUUUGUUGUUACAGACUUACAGUGCUAGAUCGGAUGUACUCGUAUGACAAAUUGUACUGUUUCUGAACUCUUGGAUCUGUGCGUUUUUUUUCUCUGCUCUGUUGUGAUCGCAAAAUUCCACAUAAAGUGGAUUUGCUCAUCCUUUUAGACAUGUUUUUUUGCCUUCUUGUUGUCUUGUUUAAUUAAUUAAUUGGGCAAUAAAAUGUUCUCUGUUUUUGAGAUGGCAAAUCUCCAAUUUGUUUAAUGAUUCUACAGUUUCUACUGUAAACUAUUGACUUGUCGCUUGAUUUUGUAAAUCCCACCCCUCUUCCCAUUUGCAUCCUAUAAAUAUAGGAAGCAUCCUAUAAAUAUAUGAAGGAAAAAAAAGAAAAAACUUAAUAUAACCAAUAACAUAUUAUUUAGUACCUUGUUUUAGUCUAAUUUGUUUUAUUUAUUAUACAUUAUUAGCAUGAUGGUUGAUUUGAUGUGGAUGGUCUAAUUUUUAUUAUUUAAUUAAGCUUAUUGCUUUAUGUUUUAUUAUGCUAUGCUUUUUCUUUAUUAUUAGUAGUUUAUCUAUUGGCGAGUGUUGUGUAAUUACGAGACAUUUUGAUGGUUCAAAUGUCUUAUUAAAAAAUAUGGAGAUGCAUCAUAAGUUACUUGAUAAGUACUUUCAUGUUAGGUUUGAAAAUUUGAAUCUUUAACAAUUGGACACUAGAUUUGUCAAUUUGAACUUUCAUGCCGUGGAUGCUCUAAAAAUCAUGCUUUAUUACUUUGCUGAUAAGGUAUUGAAUGGAAGAAAAGAUCAUAUCACUGUCAAGUUCAUUUCCAACUGAUGAAUUAUGUUGAAAUAUAAAUCACUUUCAAAGUUGUCCAUGAGGUCGUUUAUCAUGAGAAAUAAUAUAUGAUGAUAUUGACAAUACAUUGAACAAGAAAGCUGAGAGAUUUAAUAAUGAUCACUUGGUAAAUACCGAUAAUAAUAUUGAGAGAUACAAUCUCUAUGGCUUUAGUCAUGGGGUUUAGGUGGGUUGGAAAAAAAUUUUAAGUUCAUAAGUUUUGUACUUAAGAAUAAUUCAUACUUUUUUUUUUCCUAUAACUUUCUUGUUGCAGGCUUGGCUUUUUAAAGUGACCGAGGGGCUGCCAUCACAGUGGACCGUGAAAACAAAAAAAGAUUCGCCGGAUCUUAAAGUGGAAGGCCAACUUCUAGUGGAAGCACUUUCAAGAGGAAGUAGAGGAGCGACAUAACACCAUGAGCUUAACACAGGAGCAGCAAAAUUCUGUCGAGGUUGAGCAUGCUGCAGUUGACCAUCACAAUCACUCACACAAUUCUGAUGACUUAGAAGAUUCAGAGGUUGCGUUCUCAUUAAUAAUCAUUUCUAUUGCCCAAAUAUAAUAUAAUAAAUGAUUUUAACAUUUUCUCAUUAUAUUUUUGUUUCAUGAUAAUAAGUGAUGACAACGUUUCAUUAUGAUUAUAUCAUUCAAUGGAUGAAUAAGAUUGAUUGUUUUAUUUCUGAAUUGAAGUCGAUUAUGGAGGCAGAGUACAAAGAACAAAAAGAGUUUAGACAAACUGUCAUGAAAUUUAUCGUUUAAUGAUGGAGUUUAAAUAAAUGUCAAGAGUACAAAUUCGGGAUCCACAUUUGUUAACUGAGAACUUUACCUACUAUGCAUUAAGCUGAGGCAAAUCGUUUACAAACUAGCCGUUAAUAUCUUGAUAUGAAACUAUUGUUGGAUUUACUAUUUUAGGAAAUUAUCGAAUGCAAAAACACAGCACAGCAGCGCAAGACUUUCAUUUUCCUUGCUUUCUUUCGUAAUAAUUUCAUUCAUGUUUCAAAUUGUUAAAAGCAAGAAUGUUCAUACUGAUAUACCAAGUAAUUUGUGUAACACAACAUAUAGAUUGUUGUGUGCUAAUGGUUUAGUUGCUAUCCGUUCCAAAAAGUGGGUUAUUUUCAAAGAAUUACAAUGCUUCUUGGAAAGCUAAAAUAAAGGGGAAAAAAAAAAUGAGAGAGAGAAAGCAAAAGAUAAUUUCUGAUGCCAAGUGUAGUGAAUUAUCAUAUAUCCAAUGUACUUAUUUUAUGUUUCUAGAUUUCUCACUGGAAGUGUCCGAUGUUGGAUGUUUCGCGAUUUCUCGCGAUGCUAAAAUAACCCUCUUUGUGAAGACUAAUAUCGUUUGGCAUUUGUUGUUAUGCAAUUUCUAGUUCUUGGCUUCCAGUUUAGAUUUGUAUGGUAAUAUUUCUGGUGCAAGUAUGUAACAUGCGUGAAUGCACCAUCCUCUCUCCUUGUAUUUUUAUCGUGAUAAACUGAGAGGUCUAGAGUUUCAGGUCUUGCUGUCUAUAAGCUUGGAUGGCGUUUCUAGCAUAGUGUUUAUAUAUCUAAUUCUUUUAAGUUCAUCUAUAAGCGGAUCUAAUAUUUUGAAUAGGUGUAUGAAGUGACAAAAUUCUUGGAAGAUCAUCCUGGAGGUGAUGAAGUUUUGCUGUCCGUAACAGGUAUAUCCUUUGCUAAAGCCUGCUUCAAGCAACUCGACCUCUAGUUAUAUUUUCAUUGUAUAAUUAGUAUGCCUGUAAGUGAGAUAAUUGGGGUUUUCUGAAUGUUUUCUUAGGGAAAGAUGCCACUGAUGACUUUGAAGAUGUGGGUCAUAGUCCGAGUGCCAGAGAAAUGAUGGACUAGUACUAAGUCGGAGAGAUUGAUGUAUCGACCAUCCCAAAGAAGAAGGUGUGUACACCUCCAAAGCAGCCUCACUACAACCAGGACAAGACAUCAGAGUUCAUCAUCAGGCUUCUCCAAUUCCUCGUGCCGCUAGCAAUCCUGGGCUUGGCCGUCGGCAUCCGGAUCUAUACAAGAUCAUCUUAGUGUUCUAGAUUAUGUUCUCAUAACAGACAAUUUGUGUCAUUUCAAUGUUCUAGAUCAUGUUAUCAUAACAGACAGUUUGUGUUUUGUUAAUGAGACUUUCUUUGUUCUGCAUUUUGUUUUUGACUUGAG